CAAAUUUUAAAUCUACCUGGAUUUCCAGGUCGAGUUGUAAUUUGAAGAAGUGUUUUUUACUUUCCGGGUUGGGUUAAAUCCUUUGGGAUAAGGUAUCAUGGAGGGUGAGAAUCCCGUGUAUACCAACCGCAGGAUYGUUUAAUAUACACUUUCUAAGAGUCGAGUUGUUUGGGAAUGCASCUCUAAAUGGGUGGUAAAUUUCACCUAAUGCUAAAUAUAASCGAGAGACCGAUAGCGAACAAGUACCGUGAGGGAAAGAUGAAAARAACUUUGAAAAGAGAGUUAAAUAGUACGUGAAAUUGUUGAAAGGGAAACGGUUGAAGUCAGUCAUGCCGGCGGGAAUCAACUUAGGGGAAACUCUGAGUGCACUUCUUCGCUUGGCAGGUUAGCGUCGAUUUUGGAUGUCAUAAAAUGACUGGGGGAAGGUAGCUCUUUCGGGAGUGUUAAGCCCUURGUAGAUGUGAUGUCCGGGAUCGAGGAUUGCAACGGAUACCUUUUGGGCUAACCGCCUAGUCUCUAAUACGAAGUUGGGUUAUGGACAGCACGCUGACUGUGAUCUGAUUUUCGGUUAAAA
This 574-nucleotide ribosomal RNA is filed under the name Glomeromycotina sp. RNAcentral's name for it is "eukaryotic LSU rRNA". It matches the Rfam family "Eukaryotic large subunit ribosomal RNA", at positions 110 to 618 of the family's 3401-position model. Lineage: Eukaryota; Fungi; Glomeromycota. The record is from RNAcentral.